UUCGCCCAAUUCUCUCUAAAUAACGUUACUGUAUGGUCUCGCAUUGCGAUAAACAGGCCGAACUAACUUGCUUAGUUUGAUUUGUGAAUAAUUGUUAUAGAUAUUUUGGUAUCAUUCGCAUAUUUAUUUUAUAAUUAUCUUCUUCACUGGGAUUAAUUGCCAACAUGACUUACUGGAGACAAGCUGGUCUUUCCUACCUGAAAUUUUCUGCCAUCUGCGCACGGCAUGUAAGAGCAGCAGUAAAGAAAGAAUUUAAAACUGAUGCUGCUCAGAGACUUCCAAUUAAGCAAACAUUAUGGAAGGAAGGAAAACCUCUAAAGGCUGGUGAAGUAUAAAGUGAAAUGAAGAAAUAUAUGGACUUAAGAAAAUUAUUUAGAAAUAUGGUGAAGAAAUAUUUUCUUUUAAAUCUUCAAAACAAUUCAAUGAAAACACUUUUUUGUUCUAAAAUAUCUACAAUUCAAAAUUGUGUUCCUUCUUGCAUUCAGUAAUAAUAUAUUAUGAGAUGUUUUAUUGUUCAAGUGUAGUAUAUAUUUAUAAUAUUUUCACUAUUCAGUAUUUUUAUAGCUAAUUUGUAUUCAUCCAUGUGACUUAUAAAGGUUAAAAGAAAUUAACUUUGUUAUUUGUGUAUCUCUAAAUUCUUUAUUCAAUUAUUCUAAUGAUCUUCCAUCUAACAUGCAUUUCUCUAUGUAGUUUUUGAAACUGCUCAGAAGCAAAAUGCUUAAUAUCAAAUGUCCAGUUAAAUUAAUUUUAAAAAAAUCAUUUAACUGAUUUUAAAAUCAAUUGACUGAUCUUGUAUUAGAUAAAGAAAUAAAGCUGAUAUCAUCA
Long non-coding RNA from Argiope bruennichi, 825 nucleotides. RefSeq lists it as uncharacterized. NCBI's taxonomy places the organism in Eukaryota, Metazoa, Arthropoda, Arachnida, Araneae, Araneidae. The record is from RefSeq and is a predicted model, not a curated record. The transcript has 3 exons.